AGGAUGAACGCUGGCGGCGUGCUUAACACAUGCAAGUCGAACGAUGAAGCCGGAGCUUGCUCUGGUGGAUUAGUGGCGAACGGGUGAGUAACACGUGAGUAACCUGCCCUUGACUCUGGGAUAAGCACUGGAAACGGUGUCUAAUACCGGAUACGAGCUUUAGCCGCAUGGCCUAGGAGCUGGAAAGAAUUUCGGUACAAGGAUGGACUCGCGGCCUAUCAGGUAGUUGGUGAGGUAACGGCCCACCAAGCCUACGACGGUAGCCGGCUGAGAGGGUGACCGGCCACACGUGGGACUGAGACACGGCCCAGACUCCGUACGGGAGCAGGCAGGUCGGGAAUAGUUGACGACAAGUGGGCGACAAGGCCUGACUGCAGCCAACGUCCGCGGU
Molecule: ribosomal RNA, 391 nt
Filed under: uncultured soil bacterium
Lineage: Bacteria
Description: bacterial SSU rRNA
Rfam family: Bacterial small subunit ribosomal RNA
Source: RNAcentral